Molecule: small nuclear RNA, 20 nt
Filed under: Arabidopsis thaliana (thale cress)
Lineage: Eukaryota; Viridiplantae; Streptophyta; Magnoliopsida; Brassicales; Brassicaceae
Description: snRNA_11320
Source: RNAcentral
AGGUGUAGCAGGAAGUAUAG